Molecule: long non-coding RNA, 602 nt
Organism: Spinacia oleracea (spinach)
Lineage: Eukaryota; Viridiplantae; Streptophyta; Magnoliopsida; Caryophyllales; Amaranthaceae
Exons: 3
Source: RefSeq, a predicted model, not a curated record
CUAAUAUUUUCUAAAGUUAGAAACACAGUUGUUCCCCUAAAAAAAUUAAACAAAAUAUCUUUCGGUUGUUUUUGUCGUCAAGAAAUUAAACCUAAAAAAGAUUGAAAAUCCCUUUGUAUAUCCGAUUCUUUUCUCCUCCCUCCUAUCAGAUCCUGACUAUGGCGGUGAAGAUGAUAUUCACUCGAUUAUUUUGUCGGCUUCUCAUCGUCACUGCUCAUGUGAUACAACUUCGGGUUUCUAUUGGGAAGCAUCAAGGUUAUUCGAAUUUUAUCUAUGGCGGCAUGGAUCAAAUUCACUAAUUCAAACUUUAAUCUUUCUCCCUUUACAUUGAGUUAUCGGACUUGACAAGCCAACAACAAAGGAUCUCGAAAGUCUCUAAGAUGGAAAGAAAUUAUAGUGAGAUUUAAUUAGUUUGAUUAUUAUUUUUAUCGUAAUUCAUUCAUAUAUAUAUGUUAUUCUUUAAUUUAAUGUGUAUUAUAUUUGUAUCUUAAUGUUCUCGCAAACCGGAAAUGCGUGAAUGUGGCUAUUACGUCAUGAAGUACAUGUAUCAAAUAGUUUUACUUGGAUUACAAAGUAUUAGUAAUGUGGAAGAGGUACGCAUA